CAAACUAUAAGAGUUUGAUCCUGGCUCAGGAUGAACGCUGGCGGCGUGCCUUAUACAUGCAAGUCGAGGGGGUUAGACCCCCGGCGAACGGGUGAGUAAUACAUAGGUACUUUGCCUUGGCGGAGGAUAACCAGCCGAAAGGUUGGACAAUACUCCAUGUGAUCGCAAGAUCAAAGCUUGUCCCAGCACAAAAGCGGGGAUCGGCACCAAGGAAUAGGCCUGUGUCCUAUCAGCUAGUUGGUGAGGUAACGGCCCACCAAGGCUAUGACGGGUAGCUGGUCUGAGAGGAUGAUCAGCCACAAUGGGACUGCGACACGGCCCAUACUCCUACGGGAGGCAGCAGUAGGGAAUUUUGGACAAUGGGGGAAACCCUGAUCCAGCGACGCCGCGUGCGGGAUGAAGGCCUUCGGGUUGUAAACCGCUUUUGUAGGGGAAGAAUUUCUGACUGUACCCUGCGAAUAAGAGGUUGCUUACUCUGUGCCAGCAGCAGCGGUAAUACAGAGACCUCAAGCGUUAUCCGGAAUCAUUGGGCGUAAAGCGUACCGAUAGGUGGUUUUGUUAGUGUCUGGUUAAAUUUAGGGGCUCAACUCCUAAACCGCUAGGCAUACUGCAAGACUAGAGGAACAAAGAGGAAGCUGGAACGAACGGUGUAGCAGUGAAAUGCGUUGAUAUCGUUCGGAACACCGAUAGCGAAGGCAGGCUUCUGGAUGUUUCCUGACACUGCUAGGACGAAAGCGUGGGGAGCGAAUGGGAUUAGAUACCCCAGUAGUCCACGCUGUAAACGAUGCUGACUAGGCACGAGAGAGUAUCGACCCUCUUUCGCGCCGAAGCUAACGCGUUAAGUCAGCCGCCUGGGGAGUACGGUCGCAAGACUAAAACUCAAAGGAAUUGACGGGGAUCCGCACAAGCGGUGGAGCAUGUGGUUUAAUUCGACGAUAAGCGA
RNAcentral lists this ribosomal RNA (943 nucleotides) under Candidatus Doudnabacteria bacterium RIFCSPLOWO2_12_FULL_47_12. RNAcentral describes it as "bacterial SSU rRNA". It matches the Rfam family "Bacterial small subunit ribosomal RNA", at positions 1 to 964 of the family's 1533-position model. The record is from RNAcentral. Lineage: Bacteria; Candidatus Doudnaibacteriota.